AAUAUAUAGUUUUUGUUCAUGAAAUCAACAUGUUCCCUUGGUGCAGAUCUUGGUGGUAGUAGCAAAUAUUCAAAUGAGAACUUUGAAGAGUGAAGUGGGGAAAUGUUCCAUGUGAACAUCACUUGGACAUGGUCGGUUAGUCGAUCCUAAGAGUUGGGGAAUCCUUGUAUCAAGGGUGCACAUUGCAUGAACAUAGAAAGAGAAUUGGGUUAAUAUUCUCGAACCGGGACAUGGUGGUGGACAACAGUGUUAGGAAAUAUGGAGAUGUCAUCGGGGUCCUGUGAAGAGUUAUCUUUUCUUUUUAACAACUUUCCCACCCUGAAAUCGGUUCAACCAGAGAUAGGGUCCAACAUUUGGAAGAUAACCACAUGUCUUGCGGUGUUUGGUUCCCCCUUGGCGGCCAUUGAAAAUAUAGAUAACUGAGUACCAUCCAUGCCUGAUCGUACUCAUAUCUGCCUCCUUAGAUUUUUC
This is a non-coding RNA of Picea glauca (white spruce), 471 nucleotides long. The record is from Rfam. Lineage: Eukaryota; Viridiplantae; Streptophyta; Pinopsida; Pinales; Pinaceae.